RNAcentral lists this ribosomal RNA (468 nucleotides) under uncultured bacterium. RNAcentral describes it as "partial 16S ribosomal RNA". It matches the Rfam family "Bacterial small subunit ribosomal RNA", at positions 28 to 507 of the family's 1533-position model. The record is from RNAcentral.
GACGAACGCUGGCGGCGUGCUUAACACAUGCCAGUCGAACGGAAAGGCCCUGCUUUUGUGGGGUGCUCGAGUGGCGAACGGGUGAGUAACACGUGAGUAACCUGCCCUUGACUUUGGGAUAACUUCAGGAAACUGGGGCUAAUACCGGAUAGGAGCUCCUGCUGCAUGGUGGGGGUUGGAAAGUUUCGGCGGUUGGGGAUGGACUCGCGGCUUAUCAGCUUGUUGGUGGGGUAGUGGCUUACCAAGGCUUUGACGGGUAGCCGGCCUGAGAGGGUGACCGGCCACAUUGGGACUGAGCUACGGCCCAGACUCCUACGGGAGGCAGCAGUGGGGAAUAUUGCACAAUGGGCGGAAGCCUGAUGCAGCAACGCCGCGUGCGGGAUGACGGCAUUCGGGUUGUAAACCGCUUUCGCCUGUGACGAAGCGUGAGUGACGGUAAUGGGUAAAGAAGCACCGGCUAACUACGUG